GCAGGCGCACAGCCUCGGCGAGCAAGGGGCGGACGUCCGGCCCGUAGUCGCGGUGACCAAAGUUUCUACAGAGGGGAGAGUGCAACAAAACAGCUUGUUUUCCUAAAAUUCAGAGGCUGAGCUAAUCUGGACCCCACGAGAUCGCAAACUGUCUUCGGGAUAGACCAGGGUCUCGGCUUGGCGUCACCAUCUGUGAAUCCAUUUGGUCCACACACCCACUGUAUGAAUACACAUUUCCAAACCAAAGCAGCUUUGGGAAAAGAAAAAAAACAAAAAAAACAAAAAAACAACAACAACAAUAACAAACUGAUAGAAUGGGCAAACAAGGAUUCUCAGACACUGUAAACAGAAAUCAUCCAUGCACCAUUGUGAAGGAUCCACUGUCUACAUGUGGGAGUUGUCUGCUUUACCACACUGUGGCAAGGAAAUGGCCUCCUAAGCAAAGAACAAAUGACUGUGGUUCCUGAGCAAGAAGCUCCUUCCUCCUUCAAGUAUGUCCUAAAGCAUAAAUGAACGGGAACAGAAACUUUAGGCACUGUUAUAUACAUUUUUUUUAAAAGUCUUAACAAUGUAAACUGAUGCAGACAGGCCUGUGCCUUGGUGACUGUCUACCUGAGAUAAAGGCAGCAGGCAGCAGGAGGCUGAUGGAGGAUUAGGUGUGUAUGUGUGCAGACCUAUAGAACCCACUGAGGAAGCAGCUGGGUCCCGGUGUCUCCCCAGUCCUGUGUGCUGGCUCAGGCGGCUGACUUCUCUCUCAUCCCUCUUUUGGUUACUAUCUGUUCUCCACUUGUGGUCCUUGGAGGCAGACAUCUUCAGUCACUUGACACAUCAACUCUCCUAAUCACUGUGUUUCCAAUGAGUAGAUAUAAGGUGAUAACCAUUUCUGAGUAUUGAUUUCCUUUGAUGAAGACUCAACUUCACAGAUUAAAGAUGUCUGUGGCUCAAAGAACAUUUUCCCACUGCUCCUACAUUAAACAAUGUAUUAAUAACUGGGUGGAGAUGAGAAAAAUGUUGAAAGCUUUUGAAAAACUUGAACUUAGAAACAGAAAAACUAGAAAUGGCCCCGAAAACCAAAAGAUCUCAUUAUCAUAAAGGAGAAAACCCUUUCAUUCUCAGGCAUGCAGGCAAUGGGCAUAAAGUGGUUGCUGACGUGUCUUUUAUGAGCCUCCAUCCCAAAGCGAUGGCUCAUGGCACGAGGAGAGGUUUCAGGCCUUCCAGUAAAAAUGCUCUCCACUCCCGUGCAUGGGCAGGGACAGAGGUGUCCUCUGCAGCUACACUUCCCACCCACUGUCAGAGUACAUGAUGGAACUCCGAAGCUUCAGGUAACUUUUCCUUUCCAUUAUAAACACCUAGCUAUUUCUAAAUUUUAGUAAUUUCUUUUGAGGUGGGGCCUUUCUGUCACUCCAGCAAUCCCCUUGCCUGUUUCACAGUAAGCUGGGGUACACAUAUGUUCCACAGUACCAGCCCCAUACCUUUCGGAAAUUAAAAGCAAUCUUACAUCAAAGUAAAAACACGCAACCAAAAAGAAAACGAGGCUACAACUAACAUUCACUUUAUUCAAUUCUGUUCUCUUAACUCAGAAGGCAACAAAUGACCACAUAAAAAAGGGAGCAUUUUUGAAUAUAUACACAUAAAAUUGAUCUGGGUACAGGUGUUUACUGUAAUAGAAAACUGACAUCCCACAUCACUAAGUGUUCUAGUUCAUUCCUACAACAGACACCCCUAGGCCUUAGUCAUUCGUUUCCAUCUAAGGUUCUAUAGGACUGUCAUGAUUACAAAAUGAGGCACUCAUACAGACAGGAAUGGAGACAUACAUAUACAUGUAUACUGUCUUAUUUUUAUAUUAACGCCAAAGCUAUUAUUGGAGAGUAUCUGAAAGAAGCCCUUGCUCACGGCAGCUGUUUAAAUGUUGACACAACAGCAGUAAGCUGAAACAAAACAUCUGAUUGACAGGGUAAGUUAAGUGUGUGGAGACUGGGCAGUUAGCAAAGACUGUAAAGCCCCCACAGGUGAGGUCUUCUGUAACACUCCAGCGGUACUAUGUUCCCUCGCUCCCCUUGACAAUGACUCAACAGGUACGAUCCUAGAGGACUGUUUUAACAAGAACUUUGAACAUCACAAUGUAGAAUGAGGCAUCACAGUAACGAGCCUGAUAUUCUCCAUCCCAGAGAGGAGAGGAAGGAGCUAAUUUGGAGCACCGUGACAAGUGCCAAAUUCUUGCAUAAUGGCACUGGCUCCUGUGUCUGCAAACACAACAGGGUACAAAUGUCCAAUGCAUAUUUUGUCUUUGUCUUAAAAUUUCAUCAGCUCAACCUAAAUUUAAGAAUACACUCUAAUGAAGCAUUUGUGCAACAAAAAAACAAUGCACCUAAUAAACUCAUUGGAGGACAAUAACUCUGUUCCUCGAGGGGAAGGCCUGUCUGAGAAUUCACAGUAAUAACAACCAUACUGAAUGCUGACAUAAAAAUGACUGCUCACAUAUCCUACCUCCUUCCCCCCACCAGAGAACAGGAGUGGGGGCUGGGACCACAACUAUAAACAUGGAACUUUAAGGCUAGCUACACACAAAUUUUACAUUGGCAUUUUCUUUAGUUUUCAUCUAAACUAUUAGGAGUUUGUAGUUUAAAAUCAAACCAUAAUUUGUUAAUAACGAACAACUAUACAUUUCAAAGUGACCAUUUGAUAACUGGUCAUGUAAAACUAAUCCCAAGUGGUGAUUUGUCUUCAAAUUAU
This 2733-nucleotide small RNA is filed under the name Rattus norvegicus (Norway rat). Its description in RNAcentral is "uncharacterized LOC102553736". Lineage: Eukaryota; Metazoa; Chordata; Mammalia; Rodentia; Muridae. The record is from RNAcentral.